RNAcentral lists this ribosomal RNA (301 nucleotides) under uncultured bacterium. RNAcentral describes it as "partial 16S ribosomal RNA". It matches the Rfam family "Bacterial small subunit ribosomal RNA", at positions 509 to 809 of the family's 1533-position model. The record is from RNAcentral.
CAGCAGCCGCGGGAAUACGUAGGUGGCAAGUGUUGUCCGGAAUUAUUGGGCGUAAAGGGCUCGCAGGCGGUUUCUUAAGUCUGAUGUGAAAGCCCCAGGCUCAACCGGGGAGGGUCAUUGGAAACUGGGAAACUUGAGUGCAGAAGAGGAGAGUGGAUUUCCACGUGUAGCGGUGAAAUGCGUAGAGAUGUGGAGGAACACCAGUGGCGAAGGCGACUCUCUGGUCUGUAACUGACGCUGAGGAGCGAAAGCGUGGGGAGCGAACAGGAUUAGAUACCCGGGUAGUCCCUGUCUCUUAUAA